UGUCCUACGGGACGCAGCAGUGGGGAAUAUUGCACAAUGGGGGAAACCCUGAUGCAGCGACGCCGCGUGAAGGAAGAAGUAUUUCGGUAUGUAAACUUCUAUCAGCAGGGAAGAAAAUGACGGUACCUGACUAAGAAGCCCCGGCUAACUACGUGCCAGCAGCCGCGGUAAUACGUAGGGGGCAAGCGUUAUCCGGAUUCACUGGGCGUAAAGGGAGCGUAGACGGCGACGCAUGUCUGGAGUGAAAGCCCGGGGCCCACCCCCG
RNAcentral lists this ribosomal RNA (265 nucleotides) under uncultured bacterium. Its description in RNAcentral is "partial 16S ribosomal RNA". It matches the Rfam family "Bacterial small subunit ribosomal RNA", at positions 335 to 617 of the family's 1533-position model. The record is from RNAcentral.